This 465-nucleotide ribosomal RNA is filed under the name uncultured bacterium. RNAcentral describes it as "partial 16S ribosomal RNA". It matches the Rfam family "Bacterial small subunit ribosomal RNA", at positions 338 to 795 of the family's 1533-position model. The record is from RNAcentral.
CCUACGGGGGGCAGCAGUGGGGAAUUUUGCGCAAUGCUCGUAAGAGUGACGCAGCGACGCCGCGUGAAUGACGAAGGCCUUCGGGUCGUAAAGCUCUUUCGACAGGGAAGAAAAUGCCUAUAAGUAACUGGGUAUGUAUUGACGGCACCUGUAUAAGCAGCCCCGGCUAACGCCGUGCUAGCAGCCGCGGUAAUACGGAGGGGGCGAGCGUUGUUCGGAGUGACUGGGCGUAAAGAGCACGUAGGCGGUGGUGUAAGUCAUCAGUCAAAGACUAGAGCUCAACUUUGGUAAGGCUAGUGAUACUAUAAUGCUAGAGUGUCAGAGAGGAUUGCAGAAUUCCUGGUGUAGCGGGGAAAUGCGUAGAUAUCAGGAGGAAUACCGUUAGCGAAGGCGGCAAUCUGGCUGGAAACUGACGCUGAGGUGCGAAGGCGUGGGUAGCAAACAGGAUUAGAUACCCUGGUAGUC